Molecule: long non-coding RNA, 1599 nt
Filed under: Bemisia tabaci
Lineage: Eukaryota; Metazoa; Arthropoda; Insecta; Hemiptera; Aleyrodidae
Description: lncRNA ENSSSA1NGG012032
Source: RNAcentral
UCCUUGGAUGAAUUUAUUCGCGAAAAGUCUUUUCACUUUACGAACCACCCAUCGCUUUUUCUUAGGCCGGCCAGUCCCCAAUUUACAGCGGAUUUCAAAUGAGUUUCAUAGAUAGCUACUUUUUAGCUUUUACACUCCAGAGGGAAGGAUAUUAACUUUUUUACAAACCCUAUGCUAUAAUUACACUAAGCGACAUUUUGCCAAGUUAAGUGAGAGGAUCUGACCGAGGUUAGAGAAUUCUAUAUACCUACCAAGCAAAAAAAUAUUCCAUUUGCGCAAGUAAAAAGUGAACAAGAAAUUACUAAAGAAACUCAUUCUCUACUUUAACUGUUCUAUUAUCUUGAUUGAUUUCUAAAAAUAAGCCGCCAGCUCUAUAGAUUUCGAUUCAGGAAUUACAUUGACAAACAACUUAGCAUCAACCUAUUUAGCAUGGAUAAACGCCUCGAGCCAUAAAAUCAUACCCCUUGAACUUUUUGACCGUAUCAAUUUUGAGAAGCAUGACCUUGACUUGAUAAUCACACAGAGGAACCCUCCGGUUGAGUUGUAGAAAUUUCAACGCAACCGGUUUAAUAGCCCAUAAGUCAUUAUUUAAAAGCGAUGAUAAGUAUUUACCCUCGUUACUCAGGCACUGAAAGAAAAACUGGGCGAUUAUUUUUUCCUAACGCCUUCGGAAUCAAUAAUGAGUGAUUCUCUACUUUCAGAUCCACCUGCACUCGAGCGAUAAAAUUAAGGAAAUCUACGAAUCAGUUCCUCAAAAUAUUCUACCCAAAGAUUACGGUGGCGAGGAGGCAUCAUUUGACACUAUGAGCAGAGAGUCGGUUGAGAGACUGAAGAAGAACUACGAGGCUUUCGAGACGGAGGACAAGACGUAUGAUCUGCUCGCGACGACGCCUGAAUUCUCGAAGGCCGGCAACAAGAGCAGCAAGAAAUCCUCGAAGAAACAACAAGAGGACGUCCAGAUCACUUUCAAAAAGCUGGAGUUAGAUUGAGCCUCUGCCCCCAGUCGCAUCAAACUAAUUUCGUCCUUUCCCUCACGGAGGAGCGUAACUUCAUUUCAAUGUUGCCGAAUCUCCGCUCGCAUAUUGCAUAUUAAUAGGAGAAUCUUUGCACUUCCAACUGAAAACACUGAUUUUUCCUCACAUUUCAUGCAAAAAUCAGAAAAGUUUUGGAUAAAGAGUGGACAGGUAUUUGUAAAAUAAAUCAAUUUUUUAGUCAGUUUGGCGACCUUGGAAUGGAGUUACGUUCCUUCGUCAGAGAGACGACGCACAGUGGAUCGAAUCAAUAAGAGAGGUCGGAUAAAAUUUGGAAAACACGCUUAUAACUUAGUUUGUGCACAACUUUGAGGUUCUAAAAGUGGUUCCAUUUGUUUCCUCGUACAAUUUUCUUCUAGAAAUACCCCUUUUAAUUCAAAAUGUGACGAAAUAAACAUCAAAAUUGGCAGUUUUAGCCAAAAAUUUCAUGUCCGACCUCUCUCAUUGACUCGAUCCACUGUGCGACCCAUAACUCAGAAGUAUGUCACGUUACUUUGCUCGAUAGGUAUCGAUUAAUUUCUGUUAAUAGGGUUGAAAGAGAUUACGUCAUUGUUUGGUGUCAAUGCGA